Molecule: ribosomal RNA, 253 nt
Filed under: uncultured bacterium
Lineage: Bacteria
Description: partial 16S ribosomal RNA
Rfam family: Bacterial small subunit ribosomal RNA
Source: RNAcentral
UACGAAGGGGGCUAGCGUUGCUCGGAAUCACUGGGCGUAAAGGGUGCGUAGGCGGGUCUUUAAGUCAGGGGUGAAAUCCUGGAGCUCAACUCCAGAACUGCCUUUGAUACUGAAGAUCUUGAGUUCGGGAGAGGUGAGUGGAACUGCGAGUGUAGAGGUGAAAUGCGUAGAUAUCCGGAGGAACACCGGUGGCGAAGGCGGCUUCCUGGACCGACACUGACGCUGAGGCGCGAAAGCUAGGGGAGCAAACGGG